RNAcentral lists this ribosomal RNA (332 nucleotides) under uncultured eukaryote. Its description in RNAcentral is "partial 18S ribosomal RNA". It matches the Rfam family "Eukaryotic small subunit ribosomal RNA", at positions 1470 to 1796 of the family's 1831-position model. The record is from RNAcentral.
CCCUUAGAUGUUCUGGGCUGCACGCGCGCUACACUGAAGCGUUCAACGAGUAUUCACCUUGCCCGGGAGGGUUGGGUAAUCUUCUUAAAACGCUUCGUGAUGGGGAUAGAUUAUUGCAAUUAUUAAUCUUCAACGAGGAAUUCCUAGUAAGCGCGAGUCAUAAGCUCGCGUUGAUUACGUCCCUGCCCUUUGUACACACCGCCCGUCGCUACUACCGAUUGAAUGGUUUAGUGAGAUCCUUGGAUUGGUCCCGGGAUGGUGGGAAACUGCCGCUCCGGUGUGCUGAGAAGACGAUCAAACUUGAUCAUUUAGAGGAAGUAAAAGUCGUANCA